GGCGCCAUACCCAAGUGGUCAAGGGAGAGGUUUGCAAAACCUCCAUUCCCCGGUUCGAAUCCGGGUGGCGCCUCCA
RNAcentral lists this transfer RNA (76 nucleotides) under Deltaproteobacteria bacterium. Its description in RNAcentral is "tRNA-Cys". It matches the Rfam family "tRNA". Rfam says of the family: Transfer RNA (tRNA) molecules are approximately 80 nucleotides in length. Lineage: Bacteria; Pseudomonadati; Myxococcota; Myxococcia. The record is from RNAcentral.